CACGCUGUAAACGAUGUCGAUUUGGAGUUUGUGCCAUUAUGAGCGUGGGUUCCGAAGCUAACGCGAUAAAUCGACCGCCUGGGGAGUACGGCCGCAAGGUUAAAACUCAAAUGAAUUGACGGGGGCCCGCACAAGCGGUGGAGCAUGUGGUUUAAUUCGAUGCAACGCGAAGAACCUUACCUGGCCUUGACAUGCUGAGAAGUCUGCAGAGAUGCGGAUGUGCCUUCGGGAACUCAGACACAGGUGC
This 247-nucleotide ribosomal RNA is filed under the name uncultured bacterium. RNAcentral describes it as "partial 16S ribosomal RNA". It matches the Rfam family "Bacterial small subunit ribosomal RNA", at positions 796 to 1041 of the family's 1533-position model. The record is from RNAcentral.